AAAUCUACCUUCGCAGUGCGUGCUUCUGCUUCAUACCUCAGUCACACGGUCACACUCUGAAAGAUCUCACAGCUAUGGCUUUGACCGCCUUACUCUACCUUCAAAAUCCUCUCUUUGUUCGCAAACCCACAAAACCCAUUACCUCUUCAACUCCAAAGUCCCAAACACAUGGAACAUUGCAAACCCAAUUCCAGAAGCGUACCAAUUGUGGUGCCAUCCAGAACCCGAAGGCCAUGGUGGCUCUAUUAGGGGCGGGUUUGGCACUGACCCUCGCGGGACCCGCCUCAUCUGCGGAGCUACCCUCUCUGCAAUUCACUGAGCCCGCCAAUGCUCUCUCCUUGCCCACCUGGGCCGUGCACGUGUCCAGUGUGGUAGAAUGGAUUGCAGCAAUGGCUUUGGUGUGGCAAUAUGGGGAGCAAUCCGGUUAUGAGUCUUGGAAAGGACUCUCCCGGGGUAUGGUACCCCUGUUAGGUGGAGCAUUUUGUGCAUGCACAUGGCAUUUCUUUUAUAACUCUGAGUCUCUUGAGGUAUUGGUGGCUCUUCAAGCAGCAUUAACAGUUAUAGGUAAUACCACGAUGUGUAUUGCUGCAUUCCGAAUAUACAAAUCAUCAGAAGAUAGCUCCAAGAAUAUCUGAAAGUUUCUGCACCUGCAUACCUAUAUAUGUGCCUUCAUAAACCUUUUCCCUGUCUUCUGCCUCCCUGUUGGAUAGGUAAUAUUAUUCUUCUUUAUGUGCCAGCAAUCUGGCUAAUAGUAAUAAUUUUUUAGAGAAAAAGGAUCAGUUUAUGGAACUACUAAAUAGUAGUUUAUCUUCUGUGAUGUUUUUAGAAAAAAAAAAGGUGUUUGUUUGAUAUUUGCAGGAAACUUCCUCAUUUAUGAUGAAGUUGAUUUUUAUGAGGCCAGUUUUUCCCAUAGUUGGAAGGAGUGUCAAGAGUCUGAUGCCAGCAUGCUUUGAACUCAUCUAAUUGUUUGAAGCUGUAACUGUGAUAAUGAAAGUUUCCCUUUGUCAAUGGAGUGGAUUGACGGACCUGAGCCCUCUACUUACGUAGACAUACUGUAAUAAUGUCUUUAAUGGGCUUCUCUCUUGUAAUGAUUUGGGACAAGAGGAAAGAACAAGCCUGAUUUGAAACAGCACUACAAGUGUUGAUAUACUGCAACUUCGUCCAUGCAUUAUCCUGAGUUGAAUGGGCAAUGCAGAAGCUAUCAUUAAACACUUGAAGAUGGGACGUCAGGUAGCCGUUUGAGGUGGCAUUCUUACAUAAUCUCUUGCAAAGAAUGGAUUGGCUUCCUUUUGUUUCAAUUUUUCCUUCAAAGAUGAUAGAAAAAAGUUGCAAAUUUUUUAGGAUGUGGGAAGGAAUCGAUUGUGGCAACUUCGGGUUGGCAUUUACUUUUUGAGAUUCGAUUACUCUGAUUUUUUGGCAGUUGCAGAUCGGUUUCCUUCUUCCAAUGUUAGGAGGCUGUUGAAUACCCCUCGUCUCCUCCUGCUUGUGUAAAUACAACCAUGUCUAUUUAAUUGUUUAAUGAAUAAAGUGAAAA
Molecule: RNA transcript, 1534 nt
Organism: Alnus glutinosa
Lineage: Eukaryota; Viridiplantae; Streptophyta; Magnoliopsida; Fagales; Betulaceae
Exons: 5
Source: RefSeq, a predicted model, not a curated record